Long non-coding RNA from Salvia miltiorrhiza (redroot sage), 705 nucleotides. RefSeq lists it as uncharacterized. NCBI's taxonomy places the organism in Eukaryota, Viridiplantae, Streptophyta, Magnoliopsida, Lamiales, Lamiaceae. The record is from RefSeq and is a predicted model, not a curated record. The transcript has 2 exons.
UACAAUUUGCACCUGGUAAUCGAAAAAAAAAAUCAAAAUCUACACUUGCCCUAGGGUUUUCUUAGAAACUACAGAUCGAUGAAAAAGAAAAUCGUGCAACUUCUAUCGGAAUCCUCUCCAUCGACGUCGAAAAUCAGAACCAAAGAUAUGCCACGAGUUAAACAAGCGGCUGCCAAAAUGAUCAAUCGAGGACGACCUGAAGGUAUACUGUCAAUAUUUGUUACAUGGUUUAUUACUAAAUGAUAAGGAAAUGCAUUAAAUAUCCCGGGGACAAAGGACAACGACUUAAACAAUUUUACAAUAUUUUAGCUAAUAAGCUUGCAGAGAAUAUUGUGCAGAGUCGUGUGAAAGGUCAAUUAAAUUCAAUAUUUUUUUUUCUUAUAUUAUGAAGCACAUUUUAGUGACUAAAUAGCUCGAAAGAGAAAGCAAGUGAUGAUGCAAAAGAGAAAGAUAAAAAACAAUCUAGGUUACGUAUAUUGGAGUUGCACACGACGUAUAUUGGGUUUUACACGACUUAUAUUGGAGUUGCGCACGUCUAUAUUGAAGUUGCAUUUGUUGUAUUAUUGGUUGCACAAACAUAGUUUUGUAAUUGCAUGAGUACUUUUGAGUUUUGAUAGUAUAUAUAUAGUUUAACUUAUAAUAUUUAUGUUUUAAAAUUGUUAAGACAUUUAGAUUUUGGCAAUGUUGACUAUUUCAUUUUAAUGA